RNAcentral lists this ribosomal RNA (515 nucleotides) under uncultured bacterium. Its description in RNAcentral is "partial 16S ribosomal RNA". It matches the Rfam family "Bacterial small subunit ribosomal RNA", at positions 39 to 523 of the family's 1533-position model. The record is from RNAcentral.
GCGGCAGGCCUAACACAUGCAAGUCGAACGGUAGCACAGAGGAGCUUGCUCCUCGGGUGACGAGUGGCGAACGGGUGAGUAACGCGUAGACAACCUGCCUUUUAGAUGGGGACAACACUGGGAAACUAGUGCUAAUACCGAAUGUUGUAUUUUGGUCGCAUGGCUAAGAUACUAAAGAUGGCCUCUAUUUAUAAGCUAUCACUAAAAGAUGGGUCUGCGUCUGAUUAGCUAGUUGGUGAGGUAAUGGCUCACCAAGGCGACGAUCAGUAGCCGGGCUGAGAGGAUGAGCGGCCACACUGGGACUGAGACACGGCCCAGACUCCGACGGGAGGCAGCAGUGGGGAAUCUUCCGCAAUGGACGAAAGUCUGACGGAGCAACGCCGCGUGAGUGAAGAAGGUUUUCGGAUCGUAAAACUCUGUUUUCAGGGACGAAUGUGCAGCUUGUGAAUAAUUAGUUGUAAUGACGGUACCUGAGUAGAAAGCCACGGCUAACUACGUGCCAGCCGCCGCGGUAA